AGUCGUAACAAGGUUUCCGUAGGUGAACCUGCGGAAGGAUCAUUAAUGAAUACAGAUGCCUGUCGAGCUUGCUUACGGGUUUUCUAUCAUAUCCAUAACACCUGUGCACUUGUUGGAUGUUCUAAAGACGUAGGCUUAAAGCUGAAGUCAAUAGUCAUCCACUUACACUAAACAAUAAUGUAACAAAUGUAGUCUUAUUAUAACAUAAUAAAACUUUCAACAACGGAUCUCUUGGCUCUCGCAUCGAUGAAGAACGCAGCGAAAUGCGAUAAGUAAUGUGAAUUGCAGAAUUCAGUGAAUCAUCGAAUCUUUGAACGCACCUUGCGCUCCUUGGUAUUCCGAGGAGCAUGCCUGUUUGAGUGUCAUGAAAACCCUCAACCUUAGAUUGGUUAUUUGACCUUUCUUUGGCUUGGAUUUGGACGUUUGCCGAUGUCAAGUCGGCUCGUCUUAAAAGUAAUAGCUGGAUCUGUCUCGCGACAUGGUUUGACUUGGCGUAAUAAGUAUUUCGCUAAGGACUAAAAGUCG
This 525-nucleotide ribosomal RNA is filed under the name uncultured fungus. RNAcentral describes it as "eukaryotic LSU rRNA". The stretch from base 212 to 365 matches the Rfam family "5.8S ribosomal RNA". The record is from RNAcentral. Lineage: Eukaryota; Fungi.